UACCAGCACCCCGAGUGGUCGGGACGUUUAUUGGGCCUAAAGCAUCCGUAGCCGGUUCUACAAGUCUUCCGUUAAAUCCAACUGCUUAACAGGUGGGCUGCGGAAGAUACUAUAGAGCUAGGAGGCGGGAGAGGCAAGCGGUACUCGAUGGGUAGGGGUAAAAUCCGUUGAUCCAUUGAAGACCACCUGUGGCGAAGGCGCUUUCUGGGCCCUACCUGACGCUGAGGAGCGAAAGCGUGGGGAGCGAACAGG
RNAcentral lists this ribosomal RNA (252 nucleotides) under uncultured bacterium. Its description in RNAcentral is "partial 16S ribosomal RNA". It matches the Rfam family "Archaeal small subunit ribosomal RNA", at positions 474 to 727 of the family's 1478-position model. The record is from RNAcentral.